UACAGGGGGGGCAAGCGUUGUUCGGAAUUACUGGGCGUAAAGGGCUCGUAGGCGGCCAACUAAGUCCGACGUGAAAUCCCCAAGCUUAACUUGGGAACUGCGUCGGAUACUGGAUGGCUUGAAUUCGGGAGAGGGAUGCAGAAUUCCAGGUGUAGCGGUGAAAUGCGUAGAUAUCUGGAGGAAUACCGGUGGCGAAGGCGGCAUCCUGGACCGACAUUGACGCUGAGGAGCGAAAGCUAGGGGAGUAAACGGG
Molecule: ribosomal RNA, 253 nt
Filed under: uncultured bacterium
Lineage: Bacteria
Description: partial 16S ribosomal RNA
Rfam family: Bacterial small subunit ribosomal RNA
Source: RNAcentral